Molecule: long non-coding RNA, 311 nt
Organism: Octodon degus (degu)
Lineage: Eukaryota; Metazoa; Chordata; Mammalia; Rodentia; Octodontidae
Exons: 4
Source: RefSeq, a predicted model, not a curated record
CUGUCUGGAAGAGAAAGGGUCAAGAGGACCCUGAAAGCAACUACACAGCGAAGGCUAUUGCAGCCCAGGAAACAGGAGGUACCUGCCUACUCCCAUCUGCACCCCUGGUAGGGACAUUUCAGAGCCCGGGAUGGGAGCCCCACACAGACAUUGUCUCAGCAGUGCCCACCCCACACUCAGGCUGGCCCUGCCCUCAGCAGGGCCUAAACAGCCACUCAGCCCCUCCUCAGCCACAGAGUCUAGCCUGUGCACCAUGGGUUCACAGCAUCAAGGAGGGGCCGAGCCCCCACAGACUCCGCCUGUGCAUCACG